Molecule: ribosomal RNA, 324 nt
Filed under: uncultured bacterium
Lineage: Bacteria
Description: bacterial SSU rRNA
Rfam family: Bacterial small subunit ribosomal RNA
Source: RNAcentral
GUAGCAAUACACGAGUGGCGCACGGGUGAGUAACGCGUGGAUAUCUGCCUUUUGGUUCGGAAUAACCCCGGGAAACUGGGGCUAAUACCGGAUGGUUCCUUCGGGAUAAAGAUUUAUCGCCAAAAGAUGAGUCCGCGUACGAUUAGCUAGUUGGUGAGGUAAUGGCUCACCAAGGCGACGAUCGUUAGCUGGUCUGAGAGGGCGGACGGACACACUGGGACUGAGACACGGCCCAGACUCCUACGGGAGGCAGCAGUGGGGAAUUGUUCACAAUGGGCGCAAGCCUGAUGACGCAACGCCGCGUGGAGGAUGAAGGUCUUCGGA